RNAcentral lists this transfer RNA (71 nucleotides) under Marmota monax (woodchuck). Its description in RNAcentral is "tRNA.Ala". It matches the Rfam family "tRNA". Rfam says of the family: Transfer RNA (tRNA) molecules are approximately 80 nucleotides in length. The record is from RNAcentral. Lineage: Eukaryota; Metazoa; Chordata; Mammalia; Rodentia; Sciuridae.
GGGGCUGUGGCUCAGUCGUAGAGCAUUUGCCUAGCACGCACCAGGCACUGGGUUCAAUCCUCAGCACCACA